Molecule: long non-coding RNA, 1180 nt
Filed under: Homo sapiens (human)
Lineage: Eukaryota; Metazoa; Chordata; Mammalia; Primates; Hominidae
Description: HSALNT0399696
Source: RNAcentral
CGGAAUUUCUUCUCAAGUGGUCUCUGAUCCAGAGAGACACACCCAGCGGCAGCCGUUGACUCCCUCCACCCUUGCUUCCCUCUCAACCAUCUCACCUCCAUCUGUCCAGUGGAGCCAGAUGUCCCACCUUCUUGGGAGAAAUUAAUUGAGGCUCAUUUCCAGGACAGAGGGGCAAGCUGGGUCUGAGGAGCCAAGCAGAAAAACUUCCCAAAAUCACUGGGUGGGGAGGGGUCAGAGACUUACUGCUGCCCCAGCUGUUCUGACUCUGCCCCCAGCUUUUGGCCCCACCCUUUUAAAGCACCUUCAGAGGUUCCCAAUGGUGACAGUAAACAAGUCUCCACUGUCCUGGCCAUCUCUGCUGUGUUCACCCUACUCCUGAUCUUUCUGGCUGCUCAGGGACUGACAGCCAAGAUGUGAGGCUGUGAUGAGCAGGAACAGGGAGGCCUGGAGCCCCCAGCCAUUGUCAUCACUUCCCUGAUCUGCCUAAAUUCUGCCCAGCAGUCCGUGAAAAUGGUUUGCUGAUGACAUAUGUAAGGACUUUAACUCCCCUCAAGCAAUCUGCUCAUCUCAAAGGAUUUGCAAUGAUCAAGAGGCGUCCUGUGAAUGCAGUUUGCAAAGGACUUAGGCACACAGCAUCUCCUUUGUUCUCACCACAAGGCUGCCGGGUGUGCAGAUGUGAGGAUUAUUUCAAUGGUGAAGAAGCAUCCUGAGAGGUUACGUAGUUCAACUAAUGUCACACCAAGAGCAGGAGAGCAUCUGGGCAUUUGGACAUGGAAGGUGUGGGGCACAAGCAUCUCAUGGCCAGGGAACGGGGGAGGAGCAUCUCAGAGCUGCAUCAGAGUUCAUGCUGGUCCUAGGACAAGAGUCAAGCACACCCUGCUUUCACCAGCUGCUGGUAGCUUUCACUCAGGUUCCCACUUUGGCCACUUAAUUCUCUGAACCUCUACUACAUGAAGAGACUAGAACUUGAUUAGAAAAAAAUGGAAUGACUCUUAAUGAGCAAGUGGAUGAAUAAAUUGUGAUAUUCAUCUUACCUGCUGAUCCUUCAAAGAUCUCUAGUAUCAUCAUGAAAAGAAAUUACUAUAGCAGGCAUUUUUUCUUGCUAUUAAUCUUACAAGAAAUUCUUUCAAUCUACCACCAUUGCUAGUUUGCCGAGAGGUUGUUUUGUGUUUUGUUUUCA